Molecule: unclassified non-coding RNA, 494 nt
Filed under: Hevea brasiliensis (rubber tree)
Lineage: Eukaryota; Viridiplantae; Streptophyta; Magnoliopsida; Malpighiales; Euphorbiaceae
Source: RNAcentral
GGUUAAUAUGACAGGUGUAACAGGACCAUUUAGUUUCACUUCUGAAAAGGAACUCUUCCGCCCUACUUUUGAAGUCAUUAAUGUGGUUGGUACAGGUUUUAGGAAAGUUGGUUAUUGGUCUGAAUACUCUGGUUUAUCAAUUGUGCCUCCUGAAACACUGUACUCUAAGCCGCCAAAUCGUUCCUCUUCGAAUCAACAGCUACAAAGUAUAAUCUGGCCUGGACAAAUAACGGAAAAACCUCGUGGAUGGGUUUUUCCAAACAAUGGGAGACAACUGAAAAUUGGAGUUCCUAACAGAGCUAGCUUUCGUGAAUUUGUUGGAAAGGUACCAGGCGUCGACUCAUUCAGAGGAUACUGUAUAGAGGUCUUCACUACUGCCAUAGACUUAUUGCCUUAUGCUCUCCCUUACAAGCUAGUUGCCUUUGGGGAUGGUCAUAACAAUCCAGAUGAUACAGAGCUAAUACGCCUAAUCACAGCAGGAGUUUAUGAUGCAG